GACGAACGCUGGCGGCGUGCUUAACACAUGCAAGUCGAACGGUGAAGCGCCUUCCUUUUUGGUGGGUGUGGAUGAGUGGCAAACGGGUGAGUAACACGUGAGUAACCUGCCCCCUUCUUCUGGAUAACCGCAUGAAAGUGUGGCUAAUACGGGAUAUUCUGGGUCUGUCGCAUGAUGGGUCUGGGAAAGAUAUUGUUUCGGUGGGGAUGGGCUCGCGGCCUAUCAGCUUGUUGGUGGGGUGAUGGCCUACCAAGGCGGUGACGGGUAGCCGGCCUGAGAGGGUGGACGGGCACACUGGGACUGAGACACGGCCCAGACUCCGACGGGAGGCAGCAGUGGGGAAGAUGGCACAAUGGGCGAAAGCCUGAUGCAGCGACGCCGCGGGAGGGAUGGAGGCCUUCGGGUUGUGAACCUCUUUCGCCAGUGAAGCAGGCCUGCCUCGUUUGUGGGUGGGUUGACGGUAGCUGGAUAAGAAGCGCCGGCUAACUACGUG
This 493-nucleotide ribosomal RNA is filed under the name uncultured bacterium. RNAcentral's name for it is "partial 16S ribosomal RNA". It matches the Rfam family "Bacterial small subunit ribosomal RNA", at positions 28 to 507 of the family's 1533-position model. The record is from RNAcentral.